UGGGGAAUAUUGCACAAUGGAGGGAACUCUGAUGCAGCGACGCCGCGUGAGUGAUGAAGGAUUUCGUUUCGUAAAACUCUGUUCUAUGGGAAGAAAAGGACUGUACCAUAGGAGAAAGCUCCGGCUAAAUACGUGCCAGCAGCCGCGGUAAUACGUAUGGAGCGAGCGUUGUCCGGAAUUAUUGGGCGUAAAGGGUGCGCAGGCGGCUUUACAAGUUGGAUGUGAAAUAUUGUGGCUCAACCACAAACGUGCAUCCAAAACUGCAAAGCUUGAGUUAAGGAGAGGUAAGUGGAAUUCCUGGUGUAGCGGUGGAUUGCGUAGAUAUCAGGAGGAAUACCGGUGGCGAAGGCGACUUACUGGACUUAAACUGACGCUCAGGCACGAAAGCGUGGGGAGCAAACAGG
This 404-nucleotide ribosomal RNA is filed under the name Fusobacteriota bacterium. RNAcentral's name for it is "Fusobacteria bacterium partial 16S ribosomal RNA". It matches the Rfam family "Bacterial small subunit ribosomal RNA", at positions 355 to 776 of the family's 1533-position model. Lineage: Bacteria; Fusobacteriati; Fusobacteriota. The record is from RNAcentral.